Molecule: long non-coding RNA, 4675 nt
Organism: Ictalurus punctatus (channel catfish)
Lineage: Eukaryota; Metazoa; Chordata; Actinopteri; Siluriformes; Ictaluridae
Source: Ensembl
GGAAAUUCCACUUCUGCCAUGUGUACGCAAUGGUUUUGAUAACAGUAAAUGGACAUUAACCUUGCCAUAAACAUGUUAUCUGAGUAGCUUAGAGGAACCUUCAUAUGCCAGUCAUACUCUUUGUAUGUCUUGCUUAGUAGCUACUUCACAUGUUCACUUGUAUCUAGAGAUGUAUGGAUGAUCGCACCGGUUUCAAAUCACAGCAUUCUCCCACUACAGAAAUUCAUGAGCUUAGCAGCAUGGGAUAAAGUACACUGAGUCAGCAGCGGUGAAAGUAUUUAAGGGCUGGGUGCAUCAGACAAACUUACAGAUGAACUUCCUGAAAUAAGAGAGAAGACUCCUACUAUCCCCUAAGAGAUUCUGAGUUAAGAUGAAACCCCAAGUUAUAAUCUUUAUUUACUUAGGAGGACUCAUAUUACACUUCGUGAAAUGUUACAGCAGUGGCAAUUUUGACGCUUAUCCAGCUAUAUGUCAGACAAUGGAAGUUGUUCACAGCACCUAUCUACCUCAGAACACUGAACCACCUUUUAAAGUUAUCCCAGAUAUGAUCAGAGUUAAUUCUUCAGAUGUGGGAAAAUCCUUUAAUGGAUACAGCUGUAACGCAAACAAAUAACCGAAAAAAGGCUGAAAUAAUGGUCAAAUGGAAUGUUUCUGAAACCGGAGAUUAUUUUUUCAGGGCUACAUUCGUUAAGACAUAUGAAAUAUUCUGGAUCAUAAGAAAUCUCUUCUUCAAUCACGACACCAUCCUUUACAACAGACCUUGUAACAUCAGACCCUGUAACAUCAGACCUUGUAACACCAGGCCCAGUAACACCAGAUCCUGUAACACCAGACCCUGUAACACCAGGCCCAGUAACACCAGACCCUGUAACACCAGACCCUGUAACAACAACCACCAUAACAAUAUCAACAUCAGCAAAAUUAUCCUCAGUCACCAAAACUGAUCCACCGCACAAAUAUUUGGUUGAAUCAUCGCUAACUCUACAUUUGCUCAGUUAUCUUUGUCUUGCUGUGUGUGGUCCUUUCCUAGCGAAAGCCUGUGUAUGUGUUUGGACAAAGGUGACAUCAUUUCUGUCUUUGGCAUUUUCAUUGGCUGCUUUCAUCCUCUUACUGAUAGACAACAAACAAGUUGAGGCUGAAAUUCUGGCAGGAGUAGCAGCAGGCCUCAACUUGUGUCAAACCAUUCUAAUAUUCUUUCUCUGUGGACCGUGCCAUGAAUUAAGAAAGAUUUUCUACUGGGGGCUCAGAUUGGUUGCAUUCAUAAACGUUUGUUUUACAAUUGCUACAAUAUAUGUUGGUCUUGUGGAGCACUGCUCCAAACCACGCCGCUUCUGGCCCGUCAUAUUGAUGGGAGUUUAUUUAGCAUGCCAAUUGCUGUCAUGUCCCUUUUUUAUAUAUGGGGAACUAAAAGAAAAGCAGCAACGACAAACUACAUCAAGCAAUCAGAAUUGCAGGGUUUCUUGCUGGUGUACGUGUUUGGUCAUUUUUACUGGGAUGAAUUUAGCAUUUACUGUAGCACUGGUAUUAGGAAUAUUUUUAUCAUUGUAUGUUUGAUACCUAAAGAAACAAAAGCCUUGAUAUUUUCAUUAUGUGAUGAUGUUUUACUUAUAUUUAACUUUUCUACAUCAAUAAUUUCAAGCAGUCCAUGUAAUAUGUAUAUACUGUAUGUUGGCUUUCUGAUAUUUGGUUCUGAAUGUUUCUUUUCACUACGUAUAUCAUAUAUUCCUGUAACCAAUGCUUAUGAUCAAUGUAGAAUUUGUAUUUGUAGAGAAAUGUCUAUAUUUAUUGUGAAAAGAGGAAACCUACAAUCCCCUCUGAAAUUAUUGAAAUGGCAAAGCCAAUUUUAUACACUGAAGAUAAUUUUAUACACCAAUAUAAUUUCCUGAUAUGUACAUCUAGAUGUGUUAAACAAUUUAAGCACCUUCAAUAUUGGAACAUGUGACUGAUAGGAGUUUCUUCUUGCCCAUAUGUGUCCUGUUAAAUUGAUUGUUAAAACAGUUAAUAGCUCUUAAUGUCUACUCUUGGUUUGAUCCCUGGGUUUUUCCUGUGAAGACCGCAUUUGUUGUUAAAAAGUAUAAACCAACAUGAAGACAAGAAAGCUGUCUAUGGGAGAAAAGAAAGCCAUUUUGAAACUGUGAAAAGAGGAAAAAAUCUAUCAGAGCCAUUUCAGAAGCAUUGGGUAUAGCCAAUAUAGCAAUUUGGAGUGUCCUGAAAAUGAAAAAAAUAUCCCUGAUGUACAGUGUAACAACCAGAGAUCAAACAGUUUGCCAAGGAAAACAGCAGCAGUUGUUGACAGAAUAAUUGUGAGAGCUGUAAAGAAGAACCCCAAAACAGCAGUCAGUGACAUCACAAACAACCUCCACAGGGCAGAAGUGACGGUAGCACAAUCCACCGUUUGAAGAAGACUUUGAGAGCAGAAAUAUAGAGGCCAUACCAGAAGAUGCAAACCACUCAUCAGCAGUAAGAAUCGGAAAGCCAGAUUGGAAUUUGCAAAGAAAUACAGAGAUGAGUCACAAAUGUUAACCUCAACCAAAGUGAUGGAAAGGCCAAAGUAUGGAGAAAGAAAGGUUCUGCUCAUGCUCCAAAACAUACAAGCUCAUCUGUCAAACAUGGCGGAGGUAGUGUCAUGGCUUGGGCUUGCAUGGCUGCUUCUGGUACAGACCCACUAAUAUUUAUUGAUGAUGUAACUCAUGAUGGAAGCAGCAGAAUGAAUUCAGAAGUUUACAGGAACAUUUUGUCUGCCAAUUUGUAGAGCAAUGCAUCCAAUCUAAUUUGGAGGAACUUCAUCAGGCAGUGACAAUGACCCAAAACACACUGCCAACUCCACAAAGUACUUUAUCAAGGGGAAAAAGUGAAAGGUUUUAUACUGGACAACUCAAUCACCAGAACAUAACCCAAUUGAGCAUACAUUUGACCUCCUGAAGAGGACACUGAAAGGAGAAACCCCCCCAAAACAAAUAACAACUGAAAGAAGCUGGGGUAAAAGCCUGGAAAAGCAUCACACAAGAAGAAUGCAACAGUUUGGUGAUGUCAGUGGGUCGCCAACUUGAUGCAGUUAAUGCAAGCAAGGGAUAUGCAACCAAAUAUUAAGUAUUAUUUACUUUACUUUAAAUAUGUUUGAAUUGAUCUGUUCCAAUACUGUAGCUCACUUAAAAAAUGGGUGGCCUGCAAUCAAAGGUGGCAUUUUCUAUGUUGUUUAGCACAUCUAUUUGUAAAUAUUAUGACAUACAACCUGAAAUUCUGAUCUAUUGUCUCAUAUUCAUCUGCUGAUCUCAAACCCAAAUGCCUUUAGUGUAUAGAUUGGCCUUGCCUUUCCAAUACUUUUGGAGGGGACUGUAAAUCCCUUAGCAUUCACAACCAUUUGUCCAGUAAACUGGAGAGGCUUCACCAAUUUUUAAUUGUGUUGGUGUCAUUAGGGAAGUUUAAACAGAUAACAGCAAACACUCCUGACAUCUAAUUUAUGAGGAUGGCCUUAAAUAAUAUUUGACAUGAGCCUUUCUUUUAAAAACUCUUAUCAACAAAGCGUGAUAACAUUUUAUUGAUCCUGACCAAAUUACACUGUUCUCUGCACUCAGUCAUGUUGAUGCAUGAUAUUUACAGUUCACUUCACUCUCAGCAAAUGUACAAUAGUGCACUUCAGAUAACUUGUACAGAGCAUACAUUAGUCAUUGGGUGUGACCAUAUUCCUGAUUCCCAUUCCUCUCAUGUGAUAUUUCUCUUUCAGCUGGGAUGAUAUUAGUUUGUUCUGCAAUAAUGUCACACUGCAUAAUUUUAUUGUGCAGGACAUAAAAAUGUAUUUCUUCAAUACACUGGUUUCAAAAUGAUCAGCAGCCCUACAAUUAAUAUAUUGUGAUCACUGCCCUGUCUUCCUGUAAUGUUUAACAAGGUUUGAGAAACUUGUAGAAGGAAUCUUUAUUCAGCUUUAUUUUAAGCUUCUUUACAGUUUUUUUCAUGUGGAAUUUCCUCUUCAAGUCAGACCACAGUAUUUCAAUAGAUUUUACAUCUGGAGACUGAGAUGAUUUUGUUUCUUUAAAAAUUUACAUUGAUUUGAAAGAAUACUUGUUCAUCGUUUUUGUGAAAGUGGCCACGUCACCUCUAUCUAUAGCCUAGUCUAGACUUCCUGGCAGAGGUAACAAGGUUUUGGGCUGAAAUACCAUAGUAGUACUCAUGAUGGCAAGCAACAGUCUUCACAAGAGCCCCUGAACCACCAACCACAAAAAAACCACAAGACUUCAGUCAUCCACCGCCAUAUUUUACACUGGGAUAUCAGGUGCUUCUUCUUGUAUGCUAUCCCCUUUAGUCUCCAAACACGCUGAUAAUGUUUAUGACCAAAAUGUUUAAUGAGAUGUAUAUUAAUAAUUUUGGCACAUAUUUGUGAGAGAACAUGCUAUUGUUAAUAAAACUAACUCAACUGAGUUUUUUUUCUUUUUAUUUGAAUUAUUGUGUAAUGGGCACUGCACUGCAUAAACGAUGUAUCUUAUCUUAUGUCUUUCGGAAGUAAUUGGUAUUACGGGUCCUUUGGUUAAAUUUUUAACAUCCAGAUCCAGUAGGUUUAUUGCACAUACAAUCAGAUUUUGAUUGUAUGUGCAACAAACCUACAACCUCAGAUUUUUAGCAAUCAUUGUACAACUGCACAAUCCCAAUGGUACUCUCUUAGAAAGUCAGUAAAAUAUCU